AACUGGGGAACUUGAGUGCAGAAGAGGAGAGUGGAAUUCCACGUGUAGCGGUGAAAUGCGUAGAGAUGUGGAGGAACACCAGUGGCGAAGGCGACUCUCUGGCCUGUAACUGACGCUGAGGCGCGAAGCGUGGGAGCGAACAGGAUUAGAUACCCUGGUAGUCCACGCCGUAAACGAUGAGUGCUAAGUGUUAGAGGGUUUCCGCCCUUUAGUGCUGCAGCAAACGCAUU
This 230-nucleotide ribosomal RNA is filed under the name Bacillus licheniformis. Its description in RNAcentral is "partial 16S ribosomal RNA". It matches the Rfam family "Bacterial small subunit ribosomal RNA", at positions 631 to 861 of the family's 1533-position model. The record is from RNAcentral. Lineage: Bacteria; Bacillati; Bacillota; Bacilli; Caryophanales; Bacillaceae.